AUCCCUCCAAAAAUAGGC
RNAcentral lists this small nuclear RNA (18 nucleotides) under Arabidopsis thaliana (thale cress). RNAcentral's name for it is "snRNA_14183". Lineage: Eukaryota; Viridiplantae; Streptophyta; Magnoliopsida; Brassicales; Brassicaceae. The record is from RNAcentral.